UCAUCCAAACUGGGCACACUGUC
This 23-nucleotide microRNA is filed under the name Monodelphis domestica (gray short-tailed opossum). RNAcentral describes it as "mdo-miR-7305-5p". The record is from miRBase by way of RNAcentral. Lineage: Eukaryota; Metazoa; Chordata; Mammalia; Didelphimorphia; Didelphidae.